This is a long non-coding RNA of Triticum dicoccoides, 877 nucleotides long. RefSeq lists it as uncharacterized. The record is from RefSeq and is a predicted model, not a curated record. The transcript is spliced from 3 exons. Lineage: Eukaryota; Viridiplantae; Streptophyta; Magnoliopsida; Poales; Poaceae.
UCUCGCCCCCCUCGUAUAUCAACUCCUCUAUGGCUCUGCCCGACCUAGACACCCAGUCGGCCAGCCGCCUCGCCGUCCCGGCAUCGCCGUUCCUCGCGGCUUCGCCGGUCGCCAGCCGGAGCCCGGAGUUCAGCCGCCCAGGAGGCUCCCGCCUUUUUCCUGCUUCCCGCCCGGCCGCCCUCCCGGCUCCCGGUCUAGCCGCGCCCCUGCUGUCCCGGCGUCCCGCCGGCCCGGCCGCCCCCUGCAAAUCCCCACCACGGUGGCAGGCAAACCCCUGACCGAUUUGAGAAUUAUUGAAGAAUGAAUAGGACCAGAGACAUUGUUUCUCUUUUCCAGAGAGAAGCUAUUAAUACAGGGAAGAAGAAGAAGGCAGGGAAUGUGCCGCAUGUUGCCGAAGAGCAAACCGGAGAACUGGUGCGUAUGCCGGUUGUGAUUGAAGAGCAAACUCAUGAACCAACAGUUUCUAUGACGAAUGUGACCAUAGAGCAAAAGCAUGGGCCAUAAACAGUCUUUUUGAAGUUCUCAAGGCAGGUAUGGCACCGAUGUCUUCAUGAGUUGCAGGUGCUGCUUCAGGUGGCCAUCUCUAUUUGGGGUGGACAACCGUGAUUCUUGUUGGACUAAGUCCAGGACCCUAUUGCCAAAAGCCAAACGUAGGGUUUUUUAUUCUCUUGUUAUGCUUGCUUGCCGGAGUUUGUGGAAACAACAUAAUGUUAGCCAACUUAGAGAUGUGAAAGAGACUAGUACGCAGAUCAUUGCUGAAUUUCAUCUUUGGGGCAUGGCUAGAGGUACCGAAGUAGCAGCGUCGUGUGAGUAGUUUUCUUUGUACUUGGAGCAGAGUGUGUGUAUUUUAUUUUCCUUUGACAACAAAUUUCUUGUA